RNAcentral lists this transfer RNA (61 nucleotides) under Chilocorus rubidus. RNAcentral describes it as "tRNA-Leu". The record is from RNAcentral. Lineage: Eukaryota; Metazoa; Arthropoda; Insecta; Coleoptera; Coccinellidae.
AUUAUUUUGGCAGAAUAGUGCGUUUGAUUUAGAAUCUUAAUAUGUAGAUUUACAAAUAAUA